CGAUCACUCCAGCAGCAUAGAAAGCAGACUCAACCGGACUACAGUACCUCAAGAGAUGACAGAAGGAACAACUGUCCCCUUAAUUCAAUCCAAAAACAGGAGGAACAAAGAGUGAGCAAAACAGUUCACUGGGGUGCCAAAGGGUUUGGAGGCAGAAUCAAUAACACUAUCAAAGGGCAGAAUCUCUACCUUAAUGAAAGGACCGAAAAUACUGCAGGCUACAGGCACCGACCACAAGAGAUCUUUGUGUAUCAACAUGCCUCUGACUAAAUAUGAAAUCAAUUUAUUACAGCCUUUAUUUCUUUCUCAGGCACAGUCCUUUACGAAGCGAUACAUUUACCUGCUACAGUACCACUCUUUCCACCGCUUUCUCUCAAUUACUAGUUAGACAGGCUGUGGACACCUCCGAGUGACAGAAGCGACAUAAACAGAUUAAAUUGCAAAGGCGAUUAUAAUUUAUCAUUUCUUUAUUAAAAAGUAAUGCGAGGGAAUUAACUUUGA
Molecule: long non-coding RNA, 501 nt
Organism: Nerophis lumbriciformis (worm pipefish)
Lineage: Eukaryota; Metazoa; Chordata; Actinopteri; Syngnathiformes; Syngnathidae
Source: RefSeq, a predicted model, not a curated record